CCCGCUGAACUUAAGCAUAUCAAUAAGCGGAGGAAAAGAAACCAACAGGGAUUACCUCAGUAACGGCGAGUGAAGCGGUAACAGCUCAAAUUUGAAAGCUGGCUCUUUUAGGGUCCGCGUUGUAAUUUGUAGAAGAUGCUUCGGGUGUGGCCCCGGUCUAAGUUCCUUGGAACAGGACGUCAUAGAGGGUGAGAAUCCCGUAUGUGACUGGGUGCUUUCGCUCAUGUGAAGCUCUUUCGACGAGUCGAGUUGUUUGGGAAUGCAGCUCAAAAUGGGUGGUAAAUUUCAUCUAAAGCUAAAUAUUGGCCAGAGACCGAUAGCGCACAAGUAGAGUGAUCGAAAGAUGAAAAGCACUUUGGAAAGAGAGUUAAACAGUACGUGAAAUUGUUGAAAGGGAAGCGCUUGCAACCAGACUUGCGCGCUGAUGAUCAUCCGGGCUUCUGCCCGGUGCACUCGUCUGCGCUCAGGCCAGCAUCGGUUUCGGUGGUGGGAUAAAAGCCUUGGGAAUGUGGCUCCUCUCGGGGAGUGUUAUAGCCCUCGGUGCAAUGCCGCCAACCGGGACCGAGGACCGCGCUUCGGCUAGGAUGCUGGCGUAAUGGUUGUAAGCGACCCGUCUUGAAACACGG
RNAcentral lists this ribosomal RNA (626 nucleotides) under uncultured fungus. RNAcentral describes it as "eukaryotic LSU rRNA". It matches the Rfam family "Eukaryotic large subunit ribosomal RNA", at positions 24 to 664 of the family's 3401-position model. Lineage: Eukaryota; Fungi. The record is from RNAcentral.